GCUACUGCCAUCAGAGUUCGAUUAAGCCAUGUUAGUUGAGGGUAUCUCUUCUUCUUCGGAGGGAGAGGGAACCCGGCAGACGGCUCAGUAACACGUGGAUAACCUGCCCUUAGGUCUGGCAUAACCCCGGGGAACUGGGGAUAAUACCGGAUAGACCAGGGGUCGCUGGAAUGCGCCCUGAUCCAAAGCUCCGGCGCCUAAGGAUGGGUCUGCGACCUAUCAGGUUGUAGUGGGUGUAAUGUACCUACUAGCCGACGACGGGUACGGGUUGUGAGAGCAAGAGCCCGGAGAUGGAUUCUGAGACACGAAUCCAGGCCCUACGGGGUGCAGCAGGCGCGUAAACUUUACAAUGCAGGAAACUGCGAUAAGGGAACUCCGAGUGUCUGGGACCUUCUCAGACUGUUCGGAUACCUAAAUAGUAUCUGAUAGUAAGGGCCGGGCAAGACCGGUGCCAGCCGCCGCGGUAACACCGGCGGCCCGAGUGGUAACCAAUAUUAUUGAGCUUAAAGCGCCCGUAGCCGGCUUGGCAAGUCCCUUGGGAAAUCUGACGGCUUAACCGUCAGGCGUCCAGGGGAUACUACCAGGCUUGGGACUGGGAGAGGUAGGAGGUACUUCAGGGGUAGGGGUGAAAUCCUGUAAUCCUUGGGGGACCACCGGUGGCGAAGGCGUCCUACCAGAACGGCUCCGACGGUGAGGGACGAAAGCUAGGGGCACGAACCGGAUUAGAUACCCGGGUAGUCCUAGCCGUAAACGAUGCGGGCUAGGUGUCACAGUAGCCAUGUGCUGCUGUGGUGCCGCAGGGAAACCGUGAAGCCUGCCGCUUGGGAAGUACGUCCGCAAGGAUGAAACUUAAAGGAAUUGGCGGGGGAGCACUACAACGGGUGGAGCCUGCGGUUU
RNAcentral lists this ribosomal RNA (897 nucleotides) under uncultured archaeon. Its description in RNAcentral is "bacterial SSU rRNA". It matches the Rfam family "Archaeal small subunit ribosomal RNA", at positions 23 to 903 of the family's 1478-position model. The record is from RNAcentral.